Molecule: long non-coding RNA, 1389 nt
Organism: Crotalus tigris (Tiger rattlesnake)
Lineage: Eukaryota; Metazoa; Chordata; Lepidosauria; Squamata; Viperidae
Exons: 3
Source: RefSeq, a predicted model, not a curated record
UUGACUUGAUCAUGGCCUUUGACAUUCGUGACUGUAUUAUUCUGCCAGAUUCGUGACAGCGGAACGUUGCUUAAUUCUUUGCACUGUUAUGAGAAAAGUUGCAUAAUAAGAACAGAAUCUUAAGUACUAGAAUAAAAGAAUAACAGUUGGAAGGGACGUUGGGCAUCUUCAAGUGGGCCUGAGGAACCCAGAGUGUGAGGGAGCCCAUCCAAUGGCUUAUUUGACCGUGUUUUGUCAUCGGGGGGGCGGGAUGGUUUUUGGGGGGUUAUUUUUUAUAUGCACUGUUUUUUUAAAUGUUAUUCUUUUUUUUUUUUCUAUACUGUGUUUUUAUGGUUUCCACCUUUCAGAUCCCACCACUCUGAAGCCUAAUAGCAUCUUCCAGCCUUCAAGAUAAAAUCAUGCAGUCCCAGAGUUGGAAGAAAUCAGGUAGACCAGAGAUGGCAACUCUCGGUGGAGUGGGAGCCAUGAGUGUGAGGAAAAUGUGAGCAAAGCUGAGGAAAUCGUUACUCACCAAUGAACUUCGGAGAAGAGCCGGAGGGGAAAUGAGAACCUGCAGGGGGAGAAAAUGGAGCUGAGCCUUGGAUGUGUUACCCUGAGCUCUUUCGUUCGCUGGAGGUGUGCUGAGAUAAAACCCUUCGGUGAGGAAGAUACCAACUUGCAAAGAAUGAGUGAAAAAGUCAAGGAAGUGGAGGAGAGAGAAGUGGAAGAUAGGGAAAUAACAUUAUUAGUGAUGUUUUGCGUUGGAUGUGGUGAUUCUGCAACCAUCUCACAUUAGACUGGAUCGAGGAUCAGCGCACUUCCUAAAAUCUACAAAACAAUGAAAGGAGGGGUGGUUUCUUUUAAAGUAACAUCAGUGAAGAAAUAAGUGAUGAACCCUACCGCUGGUGAGGAAUCACAGUGCAAGGGAACAGCACGUACAUUGCAAACGGAAAGUCCCAGAUUCAGCUGUUUAGCUCUAAGUGUAAAGGACCUGAAGCAAGCAGCUAGAAAUUCAACUGAAAAGAAAGAUGGUGCCUGGAAGUACACAAAGAUUUGUCAAGCCUUUGGCGCAGCAUAUUUUGCGAAGGCAGGCAGGAUGGUUUGCAAACUAUGGUUUAUCUCUCACCACAUUGUAUGUGAGCUCAUCCAUAGAGGAUUGCACAGCUAGCCGGCUGGGAUUGUGAAGGCGGGUGAAGCUUGGGUAGACCUACAGAUCAUCUGAUGAAGGACUUCCUAGCUAAAAUCAGACUUGAAUAAUACCAGCUGGCUUAUCUACUAGCGUGAAAUUCUUGAGCUGUUGAAAAUUAAUGUAGAAGGAGGGAGUAUCUGUCUGCAGCAGAAGACAACAGAAGAGGCAGGUUCAGCUUGAAUGCUUCCACGUUGGAAUGACAGCAGCAACAUUUAUAGAGA